UGCUUCAUUGAUUUCCAUUGACAUGUCGAUGCUAAACGUUAAAUCCCAAUGGACUUGUGUCAAAUGUGUUAUCCUACAUUGAAAUGAAUAGAUCUCAGUGAUCUUGAGAUAAUCAGUCUUUAAAAUGAAGUUAGAUUGAGGUAAGCAUGAUUUUGACUAUCUGAGGUAUUAACAGUUGCAUGGAAUCAGUGUGAACAUGGGUAGUGAAGCACACUUUGGCGAAGGUACUAAACUUACAGUCCUAGAUCAUGACAUUAGUUCAGAAGAAGACAUAAAUGUCAGAAUUAUACAACCGUCUGAAAAGGAGAGCUGUAAGAAGAAGGUCACUCUUGUGUGUUCGGCCAAGGACUUCUACCCAGACCAUGUGAGCAUAACAUGGAUGGUUGGAGGCAAAGAAAGAACCGAAGGAGUAGCGACAGACCCUCAUGCCACCAAAAACGAAACAAAAGGAACGUUCUCCAUAUCCAGCAGACUUAAAGUCCGUAAGCAAGAAUGGAACAACGAAGAAAACGAAUUCCGCUGUAAACUGAACUUCUACAAUGGAAACAUGACUCUGGAAGUUUGGAAUACAAAUACGGUCAAAGGAAUUAAAGGGAGUGAUUAUUCCAAAGAGGACUAUGUAAAAUCAUCACAGGUGGUUAAGCUCUCAUAUGGCGUGGUCAUUGCUAAGAGUGGACUGUAUGGCCUCGUCAUCUUUGUGUUUGUAUGGAGAAAGGGUUCACAAGGAAAGUGAAAGAACUGAACAUGUCUGAUUUGAUGAAGUUACCAGAGAACUCUCUCCAUUCACUUCAUCCAGGAGAAGAGAUGCUGUACAUAUGACUGAAGAUUCUCUCUAGAUUUAUCUCUCUUUCUGCUCUUUUCUGAAUAUUUAUCAAGUGUGAAGAUGCUUAAGAUCAGAUUAAUCAUAAAAUCUAGUUGCUGUAUUGAUAUUUUUUGUUGUUGUUUUGCUUGUUUCCUUGCAAUAGCAUA
Molecule: non-coding RNA, 969 nt
Organism: Pimephales promelas (fathead minnow)
Lineage: Eukaryota; Metazoa; Chordata; Actinopteri; Cypriniformes; Leuciscidae
Source: the annotation of a RefSeq genome assembly